CCCUUAGACGUUCUGGGCCGCACGCGCGCUACACUGACCAGUGCAACAAGCAUCCGUCCUUGGCCGACAGGCUCGGGCAAUCUUUGAACGCUGGUCGUGAUGGGGAUAGACUUUUGCAAUUUUUGGUCUUCAACGAGGAAUUCCUAGUAAACGCAAGUCAUCAACUUGCAUUGAUUACGUCCCUGCCCUUUGUACACACCGCCCGUCGCACCUACCGAUUGAAUGGUCCGGUGAAGCCUCCAGAUUGGCGCGCACCUCGGUGCCGCCGAGAAGUUGGCUAAACCUUACCAUUUAGAGGAAGGUGAAGUCGUAACA
This 315-nucleotide ribosomal RNA is filed under the name uncultured eukaryote. RNAcentral's name for it is "partial 18S ribosomal RNA". It matches the Rfam family "Eukaryotic small subunit ribosomal RNA", at positions 1470 to 1796 of the family's 1831-position model. The record is from RNAcentral.